RNAcentral lists this ribosomal RNA (420 nucleotides) under uncultured Paenarthrobacter sp. RNAcentral's name for it is "bacterial SSU rRNA". It matches the Rfam family "Bacterial small subunit ribosomal RNA", at positions 358 to 790 of the family's 1533-position model. Lineage: Bacteria; Bacillati; Actinomycetota; Actinomycetes; Micrococcales; Micrococcaceae. The record is from RNAcentral.
GGAAUAUUGCACAAUGGGCGCAAGCCUGAUGCAGCGACGCCGCGUGAGGGAUGACGGCCUUCGGGUUGUAAACCUCUUUCAGUAGGGAAGAAGCGAAAGUGACGGUACCUGCAGAAGAAGCGCCGGCUAACUACGUGCCAGCAGCCGCGGUAAUACGUAGGGCGCAAGCGUUAUCCGGAAUUAUUGGGCGUAAAGAGCUCGUAGGCGGUUUGUCGCGUCUGCUGUGAAAGACCGGGGCUCAACUCCGGUUCUGCAGUGGGUACGGGCAGACUAGAGUGCAGUAGGGGAGACUGGAAUUCCUGGUGUAGCGGUGAAAUGCGCAGAUAUCAGGAGGAACACCGAUGGCGAAGGCAGGUCUCUGGGCUGUAACUGACGCUGAGGAGCGAAAGCAUGGGGAGCGAACAGGAUUAGAUACCCUAG